CCCGCCCCGAUCCCUUGGAAACAGGCAGGCAGAGGGGAGGGGGGCCUCCGCGGGCGGAAGUGAGGGGGCGCUUCCGGUUGGGCCCAGCCGAGGGAGAGGCGCCAACUCUUCGCGUGUUCCUCGGGAGCCUCGCGCGGACUCAGAACCCGGACCCUUCCCCCGGCAGAGAAGGCUGUCCUGCGGAAGGAGGGAGGCUGCAGGGUGGGAGUGGCAGAAGAGGCUCCAGGCUGAAGUGGAAAAGAACCUGCAGGUGCAGAAAGGUGAGGCGGACUUGGGAGUUGAAAAAGCCACCCUCGGCUUAUACUUGGGUGCUUUCCUGCCAGGACCCUCACCUCUCCGCACAGCAACCCAGCUCUCCUUCCUCUUCUGCUCUCUUGCGCAGUGCUCACCUUCCUCUCCUCCUCUCUUGACCCAGUGCGCACCUUCCUCUCCUCUCUCAACACAGGGCGCACCUUCCUCUUCUCUCUUGAUGCAGUGCGCACCUUCCUCUCCUCUCUCGACGAAGUGCGCACCUUCCUCUCCUCUCUUGGUGAAGUGCGCACCUUCCUUUUCUCCUCUCGGCGCAGUGCGCACCCUCUUCCUCUCUUGUCGAAGUGCGCACCUUUCCUCUCCUCUCUUGUCGAAAGUGAGAACCUU
RNAcentral lists this long non-coding RNA (636 nucleotides) under Anolis carolinensis (green anole). RNAcentral describes it as "lncRNA (ENSACAG00000032320.2)". Lineage: Eukaryota; Metazoa; Chordata; Lepidosauria; Squamata; Anolidae. The record is from RNAcentral.